AGCGAACGCUGGCGGCAGGCCUAACACAUGCAAGUCGAACGGAUCCUUCGGGAUUAGUGGCGGACGGGUGAGUAACACGUGGGAACGUGCCCUUUGGUUCGGAACAACUCAGGGAAACUUGAGCUAAUACCGGAUGUGCCCUUCGGGGGAAAGAUUUAUCGCCAUUGGAGCGGCCCGCGCCUGAUUAGCUAGUUGGUGAGGUAAAGGCUCACCAAGGCGACGAUCAGUAGCUGGUCUGAGAGGAUGAUCAGCCACAUUGGGACUGAGACACGGCCCAAACUCCUACGGGAGGCAGCAGUGGGGAAUCUUGCGCAAUGGGCGAAAGCCUGACGCAGCCAUGCCGCGUGAAUGAUGAAGGUCUUAGGAUUGUAAAAUUCUUUCACCGGGGACGAUAAUGACGGUACCCGGAGAAGAAGCCCCGGCUAACUUCGUGCCAGCAGCCGCGGUAAUACGAAGGGGGCUAGCGUUGCUCGGAAUUACUGGGCGUAAAGCGUGCGCAGGCGGUUGUGCAAGACAGAUGUGAAAUCCCCGGGCUCAACCUGGGAACUGCAUU
RNAcentral lists this ribosomal RNA (553 nucleotides) under uncultured bacterium. RNAcentral's name for it is "bacterial SSU rRNA". It matches the Rfam family "Bacterial small subunit ribosomal RNA", at positions 28 to 627 of the family's 1533-position model. The record is from RNAcentral.